GCAGGAGAGGUAUUUGGGCGGAAGGGGAGUCGAGAUGAGGAAACUGAGGCUUCCCUGGUGGCUCAGACGGUAAAGCGUCUGCCUGCAGUGUGGGAGACCCCGGUUUGACCCCUGGGUUGGGAAGAUCCCCUGGGAGGAAAUGGCAACCCACUCCAGUACUCUUGCCUGGAAAAUUCCGUGGACUAAGGAGCCUGGUCGCAAAGAGUCGGACACGACUGAGUGACUUCACUUCAACUGAGGCUGGAGUGCCUGGUGCCAGAAGAGUAGCAGGCCCAGGAUUAAAGCCCAGAUGGACUGAUCCCUGGGCCCCUGCACUUGAACACCGCAGUGUUGCCAGGUGGGAUAAGCCUGGUCUUGCGUGGAUGUGGAGGAGAAAAGGAUCUGGAAGUCAAAGCGGGCCACGGGCCAAAUACAGAUGUCACUUUAGUGGGAAUGCAUGGGAUUUUUUGGCGUGAGAAAGACCCUAGUUCAAAUCCAAGGGCUUUCACGUCUCCUCUGCAGGACCCUGGGCCAGGAAGUCAUUUAACAUUUCGGUGCCUCAAGUCUCCCCACGGGUGAACACCGAGCUGUUCUGAGAUGGCAAAUGAAAACACCCAGCACAGGACCUGGAAAGCGGCGGCGGCGUCGAGGGUUUUCAGUGAGGGCUAAUUCUGCUAAUUCCACCGCCCCCUGUCUAGCCCACGAGUCUCCGGAAAGAACCCUGAGGGGCCCCUUAGGACCGCCGGCAGCCUGGGGCGCACCCCUCCCCACACACACACACAGGGCCGAUGUGGAUUAGUUUUGAAAGAACGUCCUUACAAGAGACUGUUCUUGCCCAGCCAAGACGUGAGCUCUCUUUAAUCUACACGCCUGAUCACACGGCUGGACUCGGCCAAGCCCUCUUCGCGUCCACACAGCGGGGGCUGACCGGAGCCCCUCAGCCUAGCCCCAGCGCGGGAGGCCCGCGAGAGCGGCGUGCGCAUGCGUCAGGCCCAACCAUCGCCUCAGGUGCUGCCUCACGGCUGCUGGGGGGCGGGGACGGUAAGCGGCUCCCCGAGGGAGGCGGAGCCCAGCCAGAGCUUUCCCACCGCCUUGGGGCAGGUGGGCGAGCACGUGGGGCGGGGGCGCCAAGGUGACUGUGGCUUAGGCAUGGGUUUGUUUUUUUUUUAAUUAUUUACCUUCUCGUUUUAUUUCUUUUCGGCCGCACUGAGUCUUCGUUGUUCUGCGGCCUUUGUCUCGUUACUGCGAGUGGGGCCCGCGCUCUAGUCGCGCUGCAGGGAGGUCCGUGCCUCCCCUUGUUGUGGGGCGGGAUCUCUGUGAUUGCAGCUCGCGGGACUCAGCGGCCCCGGACACGUGGGAGCUCCGGACCAGGAAUCGAACCUCUGUCCCCUGCAUCGGCAGGCUUCCUCGCAACCACUGGACCUGGGCAUGGGACUUAAUCUUUGAGGGCCACAGUUUUCUCCUCAGAAAAGGGGGCUUGAUAACAGAAAUGCAGUUGAAACUCCAUGUAGGUGAUGCCUCAUGGGCAUAUCAUGGCCGCUCAUUGAAUGGUAGCUAUUAGCAGUAGUGGGUCUAUCCUUUCAAAUAAUAUGCAAUAAAUAGGAGGAGUGGCUCUAGCCAUUAAUGAGUUUAAUGCUGUGAUAUCUUGAGCUACUGCAAAUCC
Long non-coding RNA from Bos taurus (domestic cattle), 1642 nucleotides. NCBI's taxonomy places the organism in Eukaryota, Metazoa, Chordata, Mammalia, Artiodactyla, Bovidae. The record is from Ensembl.